AGCUACAGAUUCUACAUUUAAUGGUAUUAAGUAUAUUUUGAAUGUAUUGUAGUUAAAUAUUGUACAUUUAAUGGAACUAAGUACCCCCAUGGGUAUCAAUGGACGAAUGGAUGUGACAAGAACUGUACUUGUGACAAUGGUCGCUUCAACUGUAUAGAUUUGUAAGUAAAAUUGAGAAUUGCAAUGGAGAAUGUAUCAAAGCGACAACAAUUCGACCAUAGUGCAAACAAUAGCCGAAGCCACAAAUGGGUCUUUGAUGUAGCGGGAAACUCCCGCACCAAGAGGCGUCCUUCAGCUGGCCCGUUAACAAAUAUGUAUACUAGUUCAGUGAUAAUGGACGUCAUACUAAUUCUAAUUACGCGACUGCAAUAUUGAUAGAUAUGUCUCCUAAUCAUUUGCCAAAGGGAAUGUUUUGUGUUCAAUAUUAUUUAAAGACUAGACAUUUGUUAAGUGAUUUUAAGGAUUUUAAAAAUUAAAUCAUUCAAUUUGCAAAGUAAUUUCAUUUCUGUUUGAAAUAUGCUUAGACCUUUGAAAUAAUAAAAAAAAGUCCAUGAAUUUUCUUUUUUUUGUGUUGUUGUAGUCGUAUGAGACAGUUACAUAAAAAAAACAUGAGUUGCAAACCUAUAAAUGUAAACACUCUUGAUAAAAUCUAUUGAUUGUAAAUAUUAUCAAUUUUGUCAGAUAGUGCCACAUGAAAUUGAACAAAACAGAUUUAUAUAUUUUUAUUUUUUUGAUGCUAUGGAAUCAUUCAAAAAAUUUAAGUGCAAUAUCCAAGAUACAUAGUGAGUAUUAAUUAAGUCAUUGAAUUUAUUUUCUAUUGCAGAUGUCCACGAAUUCUAUCCGUUUUUGGGUUAAAAUGCUGUCAUCCAGAAUUCAUAGUUCGUUAUUUUUUCCCAGGUGAAAACAUUAUAUUUCUCUAUUCAUAAUUUUAUUACAUAUUUUGAAUUAAAAAAAAAUAGGAAAAGGGAUCAAGAAACACUAAACCUGAAGGAAAUUUUUUUUUUUACCGAGAUAUGGUUAUUUCAAUUUCAAAAAUUGCUAGAAAACAGGUUACCAAUAUUUCUGUUUUUUAUAGGCGACACCACAUUGCUGAAAAUAUAGACAUAUUUGGAAGUGUAUGAUAAAAUAUCUGUUAUGAUUUUUCAUUUGAUUACUAACAAAACUAAAAAAAGUUGUAUCCCCUUUUUUCGACAUACAGAUCACUAAAAACAUUUUAAUUAUAGAUUCAAAAAGAAGCGAUAGGUGACUUUAUUUCCAAAUGGCUUGUAAAACAUUAUUCAUUCAUACACUUUUUGUUUCUAAAGAAAAAUUCAAAAAAAUAUUUAUGUAUAUUUUAUUCAAUUUAUCAUAAAAAAAUCAAAAUUUUCCAGAAAAUCCUUACUGUCCCCUUUUGAUAUCAAGUAACAAAAUAACACUCAGACAAUCACCUGUCCGAUGAUUUGUCAUUUAGGAAAAGCCUUUAUUGUAUAGCAAUAUAAUAUUUCCCACAGAAUAACAAAAUGUUAGCGUGCAAUAAAUUCCAUUAUUGCACUAUUGCAAUAAAUCUUCAAAAUGCAUGACGUCAUCAACGAUAAAGCCUCAGUUUAAACCAAUUUUUCACUUUCAAAUAUUAUAUUGCUAUACAAUAAAAGGGUUAUUGCAUGAAUAUUGGGGAAUAGUAUCCCGCGGAGAACAUAUAUUGCACUCGCAAGCUCGUGCAAUAUAAAAUUCUACUCGGGACAUGCAAUAUUCCCCAAUAUUCAUGCAAUAACCCUAUAAUAUCAAGUUAUGAGAAUAAAUCUGUAAAUUGCAUCAUCCGUUUAAACAGAGUGCAACAUGAUCUAAUAAUGUUACUGGUAUACAAAACGGUAUAUAUUUUAUAAAAAUAAUCGAUUAUAUAACAAUUUGAAAAUUCGUUACUUUCAGGCGCAUGUAGUUAUGAUGGUAAGACGUAUAAGCAGGAUGAACGCUGGUUUGAUGGUUGUAAAUUUGAAUGUGUCUGUAAAAAUGCCAUGAUUGGUGAAUACAAAUGUU
RNAcentral lists this long non-coding RNA (2013 nucleotides) under Mytilus galloprovincialis (Mediterranean mussel). The record is from RNAcentral. Lineage: Eukaryota; Metazoa; Mollusca; Bivalvia; Mytilida; Mytilidae.